GAUUAACGCUGGCGGCGUGCAUAACACAUGCAAGUCGAACGAAGUGGCGGACGGGUGAGUAACGCGUGAGUAACCUGCCUUAGAGAAGGGGAUAGCCUUUGGAAACGAAGAAUAAUACCCUAUGCUCUAAGAUGGACUUGCGUCUGAUUAGUUAGUUGGUGGGGUAACGGCCCACCAAGACAGCGAUCAGUAGCCGGCUUGAGAGAGUGUACGGCCACAUUGGGACUGAGACACGGCCCAGACUCUACGGGAGGCAGCAGUGGGGAAUUUUGCACAAUGGGGGAAACCCUGAUGCAGCGACGCCGCGUGAUUUAGAAGGCCUUCGGGUUGUAAAAAUCUUUUCUAUGGGAAGCAGUACCAUAGGAAUAAGGACCGGCUAAUUACGUGCCAGCAGCCGCGGUAAUUC
RNAcentral lists this ribosomal RNA (406 nucleotides) under uncultured bacterium. RNAcentral describes it as "partial 16S ribosomal RNA". It matches the Rfam family "Bacterial small subunit ribosomal RNA", at positions 28 to 526 of the family's 1533-position model. The record is from RNAcentral.